CAGCUUUUUUUUUUUUUUUUUAGCCCGAGAAGUUUUGGAAGAAGCCGGUGUGGGCGAGCUUCCUUGCGGAAGGGUCAAACAUAAAUCAUUUUGUUUUUUUUCAUUUUAUUUGUCUGAACAGAUUUUUUUAAAUAAAAAUAAAAUACAAAACUUUCAACAACGGAUCUCUUGGUUCUCGCAUCGAUGAAGAACGCAGCGAAAUGCGAUAAGUAGUGUGAAUUGCAGAAUUCAGUGAAUCAUCGAAUCUUUGAACGCACAUUGCGCCUCCUGGUAUUCCGGGAGGCAUGCCUGUCCGAGCGUCAUUAAAAACAAACUCAAGCACUUUUUUUUUUCUGCUUGGUCUUGAGGGAUGAGUAGUUCCUAAACUGCUCACCCAUCGAAUUCCAGUGGCGGAAUUAAGCAACGGUUGUUGUCCCGGUGUGAUAAGUUUUUCACGUCACCGGCCAUCUCGUUACACAUUCUUGCCAAUUGAAACUCCCUCUCUUAAUCAACGACCUCGGAUCAGGUAGGGAUACCCGCUGAACUUAAGCAUAUCAAUAAGCGGAGGAACG
RNAcentral lists this ribosomal RNA (551 nucleotides) under uncultured organism. RNAcentral's name for it is "eukaryotic LSU rRNA". The stretch from base 149 to 302 matches the Rfam family "5.8S ribosomal RNA". The record is from RNAcentral.